AUCUACUGCUGCCAAUCUAUCGCCGCUGCCAACCUAUCUAUUGCUGCUAAGCUAUCCCUCGCUGGCUAUCCCUCGCUGCUAAUCUAUCCCUGGCUGCUAAUCUAUCCCUCGCUGCCAACCUAUCUAUCGCUGCCAAUCUAUCUAUCGCUGCUAAUCUAUCGCUGCUAAUCUAUCGCUGCCAACCUAUCUACCGCGGCGAAUCUAUCUAUUGCUGCCAACCAACCUACCUACCACUGCCAACCUAUCUAUCGCUGCCAAUCUAUCGCUGCCAACCUAUCUACCGCGGCGAAUCUAUCUAUCACUAUCAUUACUAGUUCAAAAUAGAACUAGAGCAUAAACACACUAAACUUCUUUUGAUAGGUAAUGAUUUUUGGUAACACUCAUAUCAUUAUAUCAUCUAUAUAGGGUAAAUCAUGGUCCCAUUUGGUCCCAUUUUGUAAAAUGGGACAAAUGGGACCAGAAUCAGUAAUUUAUAAGAAGAACAUGACCUGGGACUAGAUUUAUAAUAUAAACAGUGUAAAGUGACUAAUUUAAAAAACACUAUAUGGGACCAGGACUAAGAAAUUUGAUAAUGGGACUGAAGAAAUAUUUAGUCCCAGUCCCAUGCAUGGUCACACAGCCAGUCUAAUCAACAAAAUGAACAGAAAAUCUCAGUCAGUCACAGUCUCAGACAGCCUAGAUAUCUCAGUAGCAGACCUCAGUCUGUGUAUGAUAUUAGAGUAACUUGAUGAUAGUGUGAGGUGAAAUUGCAUCUGAGAAGAAGAGAAAGUGAAUAUGAUCAUCAUAUUGAAAACAGUUUCAGCUGCAGCACAGCUGGGCCAGAUGACACUAGCAGUGAGAUUCAAGAAAAAAGAGAGGAUGAGCACAGCACACACGAGACAAGAGAAUUAUGAGGAAAGAAAGAGAAAAUAGAGAUGAUG
This 920-nucleotide small RNA is filed under the name Histoplasma ohiense. RNAcentral describes it as "hypothetical lncRNA". Lineage: Eukaryota; Fungi; Ascomycota; Eurotiomycetes; Onygenales; Ajellomycetaceae. The record is from RNAcentral.